This is a long non-coding RNA of Lolium perenne, 1830 nucleotides long. RefSeq lists it as uncharacterized. NCBI's taxonomy places the organism in Eukaryota, Viridiplantae, Streptophyta, Magnoliopsida, Poales, Poaceae. The record is from RefSeq and is a predicted model, not a curated record.
CCGCCGGGGGCCCGGGUGCUGCGGGACGUCGAGGAGCCGGCCUGGCGCGUGCUCGCGAUGGAGCCGCUGUCGGAGCUGUCCGGCUCCAUGUAGAACCGGGCGCGGAAGGCGGCCAGAGUGUCGACUUACCGAUCGAUACCGACCGCGUGCACCUCGCGUAACUGCGGAAGAGAUCGAAAGUUAGGGAGGGGAUGUAGAUUGAUUGUUCGAGAAGGUUAAGAAUGCCGAGGCUUACGUGUAGCAGAGGUUGUUGGUGAGGCUCUGCAGUGCAUCGGCACUGAAGUUGUUCUCAUCCCACAGGACAUGGUAAUGCGCGGGGCGGCUCGUGCCCUACGGAUCAUUUGAGUUAACAUCUGAAUCUGAUACAGUCUAAAAUGACAGACAUGAAGAUGUAAGUAGAUCUCGUCAUAUUUAUUUACCUUGAUGCCGGCAUGGCUGCACAGGAAGAAAUCAAACUCUGUAGGAUGGCAGAUCUUGGAGUCUACAACAGUGCCUGCAUGUCCAGGAGAGACGGUCAGAUUAGAAAAGAUAUUGGCAAGAGGAAGGUAGAAGCAAGCAACCUGAAGAAUGAUGGCAUAAGUAACAACACUCACCGGGGAGGAUGUUGCCGCUCCUGUCGACGGAGCUCUGGUCAUUGUGGUUGUGCGGAAACAGUCUGGUGUGGUGGCGCUUCUGAACCACGAUGAAAGUAACCUGCGGCUGGUAGUUGGCCUCCAGCGACGCGCAUGCCUGAGAGACAGAUGAAUUGGAUCAGAAGGGAGUGAUAAAAUUGGGGCAAAUUGUGUGUUACCUUUCGGAUGGCAUCAAGCUCAUGCAGUAGAACUUGGUAGAACUGGCCUUCGCUGACACCAUCUCUGCAAAAGGCAGACACUUUUGCGGUUUAGCCCCAAUGUGGAAGGCCAGGAUUUCAAAUGAUUGACCAGCUCACAGCUGGUAUUGAAAAAAAAUACAUUUGUCUCAAAUCACAAGCCGUAAAUUUCUGCAAGAAAGCAUACCUAUAGAACAAUAUUCUCUGAGGCUUUUCUCCAGUACAUCUUUUGAAGGAGAUAAGAAGCUCCCUGCAAAUGCAUGCCACAGAAUGUAUGACUUGUGCUCAAAAUUUGUAGGAGCAAGACUGGAGAUGGUGAGGGAUACCUGAUCAUGCCACCAUGGAUGGUUCCUCUCUGAGGAUCAUGAGUGACAUUGUACAGAUCAUCUAUCAAUUCUUGCCUGUGAGAUUGAGCAGAGACUAGGCCAGCAUACUUAGUCACCUCAGGCCAAUCUUGGGAGGCCACAACCUGCAGGGCAAAUCAAUGUUUUUUUUUUUUCCAGCAAAUAUGUUGACUGAUGCAGACAAGACCAGCCACUGAACAUUGAGUACGAGAUUGUUGGACUUACUGCAGAAAUGGAAGGGCUGCUGUCUUCACCAGGAUGGGGAUGGGUGACAUCAGCGCCGAAUAUGAUCGUUGGCUUGUCAGUAAGCAAAGGGAUGCACCUUGACACUGCAUCAGCCAGGACAGUGUUCCUUCCCCCGACCUUCGAAAACAAAAGGCCGUAUGUGUUAGAGUCGGGGACUGAAGAAAUGCACAAAACACAACAAGAAAUCCAACACCAACCUUGACGUUUAUCUUCAGAGCAAGGUUUGCCAGGAUCUGUUUGUUCAUUUUAAACACUUGCUUUGUUAAACAGCACUGGGAAAUCAGCCCAAGGUCGAUUUCGCAGACACGCUUCAAGUCACCUGAUACCGGCACAGUAUGAGCAUUGACUUGAAGCUUCAGUUUAAUAGUGCAGAAAUCAAUAUAUAAUUGAAAUUUUAGUUACCAUAAAGCGAGCCAUUGUUAUCAGGAAGUA